UGGCGGCGCGUUUAAGCAUGCAAGUCGAGCGGCAAGGGCCUUCGGGCCCCUAGAGCGGCGGACGGGUGAGUAACACGUGGACAAUCUGACCCCCCGGCCCGGGAUAGCCCAGGGAAACCUGGAUUAAUACCGGAUGAGACGGGACCUGCGAUGGCGGGAUCCGGGAAAGGCGCUACGGCGCCGCCGGGGGAUGAGUCUGCGUCCCAUUAGCUAGACGCGGGGUAACGGCCCACCGUGGCGACGAUGGGUAGCCGGCCUGAGAGGGUGGACGGCCACAUUGGAACUGAGACACGGUCCAGACUCCUACGGGAGGCAGCAGCUAAGAAUCUUCCGCAAUGGGCGAAAGCCUGACGGAGGACCGACGCCGCGUGAACGAAGAAGGCCGUGAGGUUGUAAAGUUCUUUUCGGGAGGGGAACAACCGUGGCAGGGAAUGGCCGCGGGAUGACGUGAAUCCCGGAAUAAGCCCCGGCUAACUACGUGCCAGCCGCCGC
RNAcentral lists this ribosomal RNA (492 nucleotides) under uncultured bacterium. RNAcentral describes it as "bacterial SSU rRNA". It matches the Rfam family "Bacterial small subunit ribosomal RNA", at positions 37 to 518 of the family's 1533-position model. The record is from RNAcentral.